AUGCUUGCUUGAGCAGUGCAUAUAGUAAGAUAGGAAUGAAACAGAGAAGAAUAACAUAACCCAUGUGAAAAGAAAAUAAAUCAAUCUAUUAAAUGCCACAUAUUUUU
This is a small nuclear RNA of Nannospalax galili (Upper Galilee mountains blind mole rat), 107 nucleotides long. The record is from Ensembl. Lineage: Eukaryota; Metazoa; Chordata; Mammalia; Rodentia; Spalacidae.